This 1457-nucleotide ribosomal RNA is filed under the name Bacillus velezensis. Its description in RNAcentral is "bacterial SSU rRNA". It matches the Rfam family "Bacterial small subunit ribosomal RNA". The record is from RNAcentral. Lineage: Bacteria; Bacillati; Bacillota; Bacilli; Caryophanales; Bacillaceae.
GGGCAAGGUUAAGCAGACUAAUACAUGCAAGUCGAGCGGACAGAUGGGCUUGCUCACCCUGAUGUUAGCGGCGGACGGGUGAGUAACACGUGGGUAACCUGCCUGUAAGACUGGGAUAACUCCGGGAAACCGGGGCUAAUACCGGAUGGUUGUUUGAACCGCAUGGUUCAGACAUAAAAGGUGGCUUCGGCUACCACUUACAGAUGGACCCGCGGCGCAUUAGCUAGUUGGUGAGGUAACGGCUCACCAAGGCGACGAUGCGUAGCCGACCUGAGAGGGUGAUCGGCCACACUGGGACUGAGACACGGCCCAGACUCCUACGGGAGGCAGCAGUAUUGGGGAAUCUUCCGCAAUGGACGAAAGUCUGACGGAGCAACGCCGCGUGAGUGAUGAAGGUUUUCGGAUCGUAAAGCUCUGUUGUUAGGGAAGAACAAGUGCCGUUCAAAUAGGGCGGCACCUUGACGGUACCUAACCGAAAGCCACGGCUAACUACGUGCCAGCAGCCGCGGUAAUACGUAGGUGGCAAGCGUUGUCCGGAAUUAUUGGGCGUAAAGGGCUCGCAGGCGGUUUCUUAAGUCUGAUGUGAAAGCCCCCGGCUCAACCGGGGAGGGUCAUUGGAAACUGGGGAACUUGAGUGCAGAAGAGGAGAGUGGAAUUCCACGUGUAGCGGUGAAAUGCGUAGAGAUGUGGAGGAACACCAGUGGCGAAGGCGACUCUCUGGUCUGUAACUGACGCUGAGGAGCGAAAGCGUGGGGAGCGAAACAGGAUUAGAUACCCUGGUAGUCCACGCCGUAAACGAUGAGUGCUAAGUGUUAGGGGGUUUCCGCCCCUUAGUGCUGCAGCUAACGCAUUAAGCACUCCGCCUGGGGAGUACGGUCGCAAGACUGAAACUCAAAGGAAUUGACGGGGGCCCGCACAAGCGGUUGUGGUUUAAUUCGAAGCAACGCGAAGAACCUUACCAGGUCUUGACAUCCUCUGACAAUCCUAGAGAUAGGACGUCCCCUUCGGGGGCAGAGUGACAGGUGGUGCAUGGUUGUCGUCAGCUCGUGUCGUGAGAUGUUGGGUUAAGUCCCGCAACGAGCGCAACCCUUGAUCUUAGUUGCCAGCAUUCAGUUGGGCACUCUAAGGUGACUGCCGGUGACAAACCGGAGGAAGGUGGGGAUGACGUCAAAUCAUCAUGCCCCUUAUGACCUGGGCUACACACGGCUACAAUGGACAGAACAAAGGGCAGCGAAACCGCGAGGUUAAGCCAAUCCCACAAAUCUGUUCUCAGUUCGGAUCGCAGUCUGCAACUCGACUGCGUGAAGCUGGAAUCGCUAGUAAUCGCCACGGAUCAGCAUGCCGCGGUGAAUACGUUCCCGGGCCUUGUACACACCGCCCGUCACACCACGAGAGUUUGUAACACCCGAAGUCGGUGAGGUAACCUUUAGGAGCCAGCCGCCGAGAGAGUGAAUGCG